GAGAUGGGAGGAUCACUUGAGCCCGGGAGGUUGAGGCUGCAUUGAGCUGUGAUCCUGCCACUGCACUCCAGCCUGAGUGACAGAGUGAGACCUUGUCUC
Rhinopithecus bieti (black snub-nosed monkey) is the source of this 99-nucleotide microRNA precursor. NCBI's taxonomy places the organism in Eukaryota, Metazoa, Chordata, Mammalia, Primates, Cercopithecidae. The record is from Ensembl.